GACGAACGCUGGCGGCGUGCCUAAUACAUGCAAGUCGAACGCAGUGGGGACGGGUGAGUAACACGUGGGUAACCUCCCAUCAGAGGGGAUAACACUUGGAAACAGGUGCUAAACCGAUACUGAUGGAUGGACCCGCGGUGCAUUUGCUAGUUGGUGAGGUAACGGCGCACCAAGGCCCAGAUGCCUAGCCGAACCGAUGGGGGGAUUGGGCACAAUGGGAAGUAGAAACGGCCCAGACUCCUACGGGAGGCAGCAGUAGGGAAUCUUCGGCAAUGGACGAAAGUCUGACCGAGCAACGCCGCGUGAGUGAAGAAGGUUUUCGGAUCGUAAAACUCUGUUGUUAGAGAAGCGGUAUCUAACCAGAAAGCCACGGCUAACUACGUGCCAGCAGCCGCGGUAAUUC
Molecule: ribosomal RNA, 403 nt
Filed under: uncultured bacterium
Lineage: Bacteria
Description: partial 16S ribosomal RNA
Rfam family: Bacterial small subunit ribosomal RNA
Source: RNAcentral